CUUGCCAGCUACAGACCCCGAGCACGACUCUCUCCGCCCCCCAACACAUGGGUAGGACCCGGCUCCUCUCCUGCCGUGAUGUCACACACCCUGGGCAUUCCACUGUGUCCCGGAGACCAAGGCGAGAGACGCUGAGGGGCCUUCAGGAGAGGGUCCUCCUUCUGCUGGAGGGGCAUGGCGGCCACCACGGCAGUGACCCUCCUGGUCCUGCUGCUCUACUGCGGGCAGGGAGCCGAGCUGCCGCCGAUCAGCGUGACCUCAGCUUCAGCCACUGAAACGCCAGCAAAUCUAAGUAAUCUGGAUGCUGAUAUGGCCUCAAUAUUCGAUGAAAUUCUAGUCCAGGAGAUGAUGGAGCCAAACAGAUCAUCAUUUUUUGAAGCACAAAAACCACUACCAACAUUACCAACAAUAACAACUUCAACAACAUUAACA
Long non-coding RNA from Bubalus bubalis (water buffalo), 432 nucleotides. RefSeq lists it as uncharacterized. The transcript is spliced from 3 exons. NCBI's taxonomy places the organism in Eukaryota, Metazoa, Chordata, Mammalia, Artiodactyla, Bovidae. The record is from RefSeq and is a predicted model, not a curated record.